UGGGGAAUAUUGCGCAAUGGGCGAAAGCCUGACGCAGCGACGCCGCGUGGGUGAUGAAGGCCUUCGGGUCGUAAAACCCUGUCGGGUGGAACGAAUCCCCCGCGGAAUAAUACUUCGCGGGGUUGACGGUACCACCGAAGGAAGCCCCGGCUAACUACGUGCCAGCAGCCGCGGUAAUACGUAGGGGGCGAGCGUUGUUCGGAUUUACUGGGCGUAAAGAGCGCGUAGGCGGUUCGAUCAGUCGGAGGUGAAAUCCCUCGGCUCAACCGAGGACCCGCGUCCGAUACUGUCGAACUUGAGUGCAGGAGAGGAGAGCGGAAUUCCCAGUGUAGCGGUGAAAUGCGUAGAUAUUGGGAGGACACCGGUGGCGAAGGCGGCUCUCUGGACUGCUACUGACGCUGAGGCGCGAAAGCUAGGGGAGCAAACGGGAUUAGAUACCCCGGUAGUCCUAGCCGUAAACGAUGGGCACUAGGUGUGGGAGGUAUCGACCCCUUCCGUGCCGCAGCUAACGC
This 512-nucleotide ribosomal RNA is filed under the name uncultured Bacillota bacterium. RNAcentral's name for it is "bacterial SSU rRNA". It matches the Rfam family "Bacterial small subunit ribosomal RNA", at positions 355 to 858 of the family's 1533-position model. The record is from RNAcentral. Lineage: Bacteria; Bacillati; Bacillota.